UACGUAGGGUGCGAGCGUUAAUCGGAAUUACUGGGCGUAAAGUGUGCGCAGGCGGCCGAGCAAGUCGAGUGUGAAAGCCCCGAGCUUAACUUGGGAACUGCGCUCGAAACUACUUGGCUAGAGUGUGGCAGAGGGAGGUGGAAUUCCACGUGUAGCGGUGAAAUGCGUAGAGAUCUGGAGGAACACCGAUGGCGAAGGCGACUUCCUGGCCUGUUCUUGACGCUGAGGCGCGAAAGCUAGGGGAGCAAACGGG
RNAcentral lists this ribosomal RNA (253 nucleotides) under uncultured bacterium. RNAcentral's name for it is "partial 16S ribosomal RNA". It matches the Rfam family "Bacterial small subunit ribosomal RNA", at positions 524 to 776 of the family's 1533-position model. The record is from RNAcentral.